UGAAGAGGUGAUACUUAGGUUGAGCUCUAAAUGACAAGAAGGAACUAGCCAAGGGAGACUCCGUGAAACGGCAGUUCAGGCAGAGGGAACAGCUAGUUCCAAGGCCCUGAGGCUGGAAAGCACUUGGUGAGUUUAAGGAGCAGAAAGAAGUCCAGUGUGGCUGAAGCGGAGUGGGCAAGAGAGCAAGUGCUGUGAGACCGGAGCAGAGAGAGGUUUAGCCUUUUUUCUAACAAUAACGGAAGUACUAAUGGGUUUUAAACAAGAGGAUAGCAAGGCCCAAUUUGCAUAUUGAAAGCUCACAUUGGCACCGGUGUGAACAAGAGAGCAGGGGAUGGGGCACAAGUGGAUGUGGAGAAACCAGUCAGAAGCUACUGCAGAUGUCCAGAUGGGGGCGUUAGGACUUAGAUUCAGGGCAUGGGGGAGACGGAGAUAAGUGCAUGGGUUUAGGCAUGUUUAGGAGAUGAAAAAUCAAACAGGACUUGGUAGUGACCUGGAUGUGCCCUCUGGUUCUCUUCUUUCAGGCUUUGGAUUCGUUAACGGAACGGAACCUAAGAUUCCAGGUGAACUAUUAAAGUGCCCCUACCCUACCCUUCCUAUAGGUUUAGGGAUUGUUUUGUUUUCUUUUGUUUUGUUUAUUUCCACACCCAUUUUCCAGACAGUGCCACAAAAUACAGAACCAGAGACGGAGCAAGUUUACGCCGUGGGGAGGAGGCCUUACGAGUAUGGAAAUAGUACUUAGAUGUAAAGGGGGCUGUUCUCCUCCUGAACACAGGCCACAUCUCUGAGGUUAGCACAGCAUUUCUAACAUCCCAGCACAAGACAGACAAAUGCCAUGUGCUGGGGGCCAGAUCCCCAUCCCCAGGCAGACUGUCGCCUCAGAAGACAUCCCCCCAGGGAGAGCAGCUAUCUGUGCUGACUGGAGGAUUGCCUGCCCCUCCCUCUUGAGAAAGCACAGCAGAUGCUUUUUAUAUAAUGUCUAAUUACUCCAAGGAAUGUCAUCAUUUUUAUGAUUAAUCAGUUGCAUACACUCAGGGACAUACGUGAGGUGCACAUCCAAAGAUAAUAGAAGACCCUGCAGAGAGGAGAUAAAUUGAGUCCAGCCCCUGUGGCCAAUUGUUAGAGAGACAGAUUAACUGUCCAUAUUACAUAAAUAUCUCACCAUGUAGAUUAUGGCCGAAACAAGGACUAUUUUAACCUAAAUUCACUGUGAAACAAAUCUAUUUUUAAAUCCUACAGGUUAUGUAAAUAGUAGGGGAAAGUUGUAAAUAAUAAAUAUCUCCUUGACAGAACUCAAAUAAUAAUGAGUUAGGGAGCCUGCAACUGUGAUUAUUACUCAGAAAACAGUACCCAAUAAAUAAAAAAUAGCUUUUGGGCUUAAAAGGAUUCUUCCAAGAAGGAAUCAGAUCAAGCAGGAGUAUUCUGUGCUUUGUACGGCCCGGCUCAGAUGUCAACCUCUUUGUGAAGUUUUCUCUGAUCUCUCGGGCAGAAGUAAUAGGCCUCUCCUCCACGCCUUACGGCCCUCAGCAGUGGGUAGCGGAAUUAUUUAUCAUGGUGAGUCUGUGUGAUGAUUCUCUUCAAUUUCAGUACCUAGCAUACUACGCAGCUUCCUUCUCAUUCUGGAGCCUUAAAGGGGAUGCCAAUAUGAAAAGCACUCAUAGUAAUUGAGCUGGCAGCUGCUAACACUUCUGGAACAGGCAUGGGGCCAGGCACUAACCCCAUGCAAUCAUUCCUUUAAUCCUCAUAAUAACCCUAAUGAAGUAGGUACCGUCAAGAUGAGGAAACCAAGCAAAAGCAAUGUGUCCAAGGUCACACUGCUAGUAAGUGGAAACAAUUGGGAUUCUAAUUCAGCCAGUCUGACUCUGCCACCUCCCAGACUGGGGCAAAAAGGUAAAUCACUGGCUUGGGUGUCAAAAUACCUGGGGUCAAUUCUUUACCUGGUAGUUUACAAACUGUGCUCUCCCAUCAUGCCGCAUGCUCUCCCAUCACGCCACAAGCUCUCCCAUCAUGCUACAAGCUCUCCCAUCAUGCCACGUGCUCCCCCAUCAUGCCACAAGCUGUCCCAUCAUGCCACAUGCUCCCCCAUCAAGCCACAAGCUCUCCCAUCAUGCCACAAGCUCUCCCACCAUGCCAUAUGCUCCGCCAUCAUGCCACAUGCUCUCCCAUCAUGCCACAUCCUCUCCCAUCAUGCCACAUGCUUUCCCAUCAUGCCACAGCACAGUCACUAGUGCAAGAGAAACUCAUUCUGUCUUCUGCUACAUUACCCUCUUCCUUAUACCUUCUACAUACAUUUUGCGUUCCAGGGACAGUAUCUUUUUAUGGGUCAGUUGCUUGGAACCACUUACAAUUUUCAGGCUGACCUUUCUGAAACAUUACACAGUGAUAAACAAAUCAUUUCCUUUGGACUCAGGGGGGGUUACAAUUUGAAAUUCAAUUUUUUUGGACACUAGGUCAACUACCAAAAUGGUACAAGAGCAUUUGCUCCUUUCAGUUGCUCCCUUUGAAUAUGAGGCCAUUGUGACCUGUGCUGUCUUAGAAAUCUAUUAUGAUGUAAAAUUUUAAUGGUUUUUUAAAAAUCUUGACACGUUUUGCUGAUGGGUGUUUUGACAUCCCAGAUUGGUUACCUCCACCCAGAAUGAGGGAAAGAGCUUGUAUUCAGAGCAGAGAAUGGAGAAUGACAUCCUCUCCAUGACUGUUUUCCCCCAAGACCUCCAGGCCCUCACUUGCGAAGAACAUUCCUCUUCUCAGGUUUGAGGACCCGAUUGCCUUAUCAUGGGGGUCCUUUCCGCCUCCUCCCCUGCUCCAGAGAAUCCCUGAGUCCUCAAGCCUCUCCCCAUUCUCCUGUCAAAUCUGCUGGAACCACAAGCAUCUCAGCCACCAGGACCAGAAGUCCGUCUGGCCAGAACGAGGAAGUGCUGUGUUGGUUGAGACACUCCAGGUGGCCAUGCUCUGUUGGUGCCCAGUGUCAACAUCUAGGAAGUCAGGAACGCCUUCUCCAGAGCCCUGAAAUCACAGUUAUGAAAAAAGUGCCUGUUGGUCUCAUCUGAGUCAAGGAGUUGAAGGUCCAAGAGAGGGUGGUCUGAGGAAUAGAAACCCAGCUUGCUGCUCAACUCCUUCAGUAAGAUUGGGCCUUAAGACUCUUCCUCUGGUGCUGUUGAAUCUCUUCCUGAGUAGCUGCAGCCUGGGGAAUCCACCAUCAGAGGUGGCAUCACUCCAAAGUUAGAUGGAUCCUGUUCUGCAUGCCCCAGAUCUCACCUUUCCAAAGUUCCAGAGAGAACAACCAGCAUCCAUAUCAUCACAGCAUAAACCCCCAAAGCGCCAGAGUUUAGAAGACACGAUAACAUCCCAGAGCCAAAUGCAACCACCAGAGGAGCCUUUCCUCUGAGCCCCAGUGCCCUUGGUCUGGGGCUGCAAAGUUAGAUGCCUAAACUGGUGAUGCAAUAAGGGGUGGUGGGGACUGACAAACCAGAGAGCACCCAUCCCAUCAAAAAGGAAGUUCAAUUUUUUAAAAUACUCCAUGGACUAAACUCAUCAGAAUAUGCCCCCUAGGCCACCAGUGAACAUUGGGCAGACAAAUGUGCUUCCCUGGGAAAAGCUUAGACCCACACCACACUAUUGUGGUAGAAUUUUUGCUAUCACAUAAAGCCACUAUCUGGGGAAAUGUGAGAUGGAAGACAGAAGAUAGAUGCUCCAGGGCUUUCCCAGGGUGCUAAUAAAUUCAUCCCAACUAGCCAGAGCAUCUCAUUUCAGAGCUUAACACGCUAUUAGAAGAAAUGUCCCCCGUGAUCAAUUUCACACACAGAUUACCACAACCUGCAGAGGGGGUACUGGAAAUCCACCAUCCACAUAGGCUUCCUUCUCUCAGAAACUCCC
This is a long non-coding RNA of Equus caballus (horse), 3870 nucleotides long. RefSeq lists it as uncharacterized. NCBI's taxonomy places the organism in Eukaryota, Metazoa, Chordata, Mammalia, Perissodactyla, Equidae. The record is from RefSeq and is a predicted model, not a curated record.